RNAcentral lists this ribosomal RNA (253 nucleotides) under uncultured bacterium. RNAcentral's name for it is "partial 16S ribosomal RNA". It matches the Rfam family "Bacterial small subunit ribosomal RNA", at positions 524 to 776 of the family's 1533-position model. The record is from RNAcentral.
UACGUAGGGGGCAAGCGUUGUCCGGAUUUAUUGGGCGUAAAGCGCUCGCAGGUGGUUCGUCGCGUCGUGCGUGAAAGACCCCGGCUCAACUGGGGAGGGUCGUGCGAUACGGGCGAACUGGAGGCCAGUAGGGGGAUGCGGAAUUCCGGGUGUAGUGGUGGAGUGCGUAGAGAUCCGGAGGAACACCAGCGGCGAAGGCGGCAUCCUGGACUGGUCCUGACACUCAGGAGCGAAAGCGUGGGGAGCGAUCCGG